GACGAACGCUGGCGGCGUGCUUAACACAUGCAAGUCGAACGGAAAGGCCUCUUUCGGGGGGUACUCGAGUGGCGAACGGGUGAGUAACACGUGAGUAACCUGCCCUUGACUUUGGGAUAACUUCAGGAAACUGGGGCUAAUACCGGAUAGGAGCUCCUGCUGCAUGGUGGGGGUUGGAAAGUUUCGGCGGUUGGGGAUGGACUCGCGGCUUAUCAGCUUGUUGGUGGGGUAGUGGCUUACCCAGGCUUUGACGGGUAGCCGGCCUGAGAGGGUGACCGGCCACAUUGGGACUGAGAGACGGCCCAGACGCCUACGGGAGGCAGCAGUGGGGAAUAUUGCACAAGGGGUGGAAGCCGGAUGCAGCAACGCCGUGGGCGGGAUGACGGCCUUCGGGUUGGAAACCGCUUUCGCUCAUGACGAAGCUUUGUGUGACGGUAGUGGGUAAAGAAGCACCGGCUAACUACGUG
Molecule: ribosomal RNA, 467 nt
Filed under: uncultured bacterium
Lineage: Bacteria
Description: partial 16S ribosomal RNA
Rfam family: Bacterial small subunit ribosomal RNA
Source: RNAcentral